Molecule: long non-coding RNA, 363 nt
Filed under: Homo sapiens (human)
Lineage: Eukaryota; Metazoa; Chordata; Mammalia; Primates; Hominidae
Description: HSALNT0265892
Source: RNAcentral
GUGGUGGCAAGCCUAGUGGGGCUGCUGGGGGAUGGCACACAGUGCAGAGCAGAGACAAGCCAGCCCCGAGCCCGCCUGACCUCCAAGCCCACAGGCUGGAGCUGCCCAAUGAGCCAUUGUCGACUACAGCAUCGCAAGAUGGGAGCACAGGUGGGGUGGUUGAAGCUGCUCACUCUGGGUUGGUGUCAAACAGGCAAGGGAAGGGGUGCAGGUUGGGGAUCUAGCGGCGUCCAUCUCAGGUUGAGAUGCACUUUUUAAAGGAGUUGGGAUGAUUAAUAUUCAAGAUGAUAAUAGAAUUUAGAUAUUUAAGAAGACAAAACUGAAUUAAGACAGAAAUGAGAAAAGCAUUCUCUCUUACCCCUU